AUUGAACGCUGGCGGCAGGCCUAACACAUGCAAGUCGAACGGUAACAGGAAGAAGCUUGCUUCUUUGCUGACGAGUGGCGGACGGGUGAGUAAUGUCUGGGAAACUGCCUGAUGGAGGGGGAUAACUACUGGAAACGGUAGCUAAUACCGCAUAACGUCGCAAGACCAAAGAGGGGGACCUUCGGGCCUCUUGCCAUCGGAUGUGCCCAGAUGGGAUUAGCUAGUAGGUGGGGUAACGGCUCACCUAGGCGACGAUCCCUAGCUGGUCUGAGAGGAUGACCAGCCACACGGGAACGGAGCCCGGGUCCAGACCCCCACGGGAGGCAGGGGGGGGGAAUAUUGCAAAAGGGGCGCAAGCCUGAGGCAGCCAGGCCGGGGGUAUGAAGAAGGCCUUGGGGUUGUAAAUUAUUUUCAGGGGGGAGGAAGGGAGUAAAGUUAAUACCUUUGCUCAUUGACGUUCCCCGCAGAAGAAGCACCGGCUAACCCCGG
This 489-nucleotide ribosomal RNA is filed under the name uncultured bacterium. RNAcentral's name for it is "partial 16S ribosomal RNA". It matches the Rfam family "Bacterial small subunit ribosomal RNA", at positions 29 to 506 of the family's 1533-position model. The record is from RNAcentral.